CAUCGAUGCGGAGUCAUGGUCGGAGCCAAAGCCAAAUACAUGAACGGGCACGUGAUGCGCACUUCCGUCUCGAAUGGAGGACGGCACAAGUGAUCUGUAGUCUGGUUCCGUCGCUUGUCCGUUACGAAUGGUGGGAGUAAAGAUGUAGGUGUCCUGCCCAUCGGAGAGGAGAAUGAUGCUGCAGACGGGAUUCUUCUCCUUGCGAUCUUCAAUCACUUUGGCACCCUUCCUGAGUCCCUCUGCUAUAUUUGUUCCGCCACUUGUUGUCAGCAAAUUGACCGCCUGCAAGGCCUCCUGGCGGCCAGACUCCGACAUCCGGCGGAGAGGAAACAGCCUUCGUGCUGUAGAGGAGAAAGUGAUCACUGAAAGACGGUCCGACGGACCGAGGUUUUGGAUCACAAACCCCAUAGCCUGCUUCAGAAGUGCAAGCUUCGUGCCCGACAUGCUACCACUGACAUCAAGCACCGUGACCAGGUCAACUGGAGCUCGAUAGCUUCUGGGAACUUGGGCAUCUCCAUGGACAUCUUUGCCGGGAUUCUGUGUUCUGGGAACAAGAGGUGCCUUGAGAUGAAUCAGAACGGUAAAGUUCUCCGUAGAAGCUGACUGCGAAAUGGCUGGAUACUCCGGGUAUGUGCUUAUCUCCACCAUCUUGGCACAUCCAUGCGGGGGAACUCCAGAAACCUUGGAUGGGGAGCCCAGCGACUC
Molecule: long non-coding RNA, 705 nt
Filed under: Musa acuminata (dwarf banana)
Lineage: Eukaryota; Viridiplantae; Streptophyta; Magnoliopsida; Zingiberales; Musaceae
Description: long non-coding RNA (MACU_LNC003673)
Source: RNAcentral